GCCAUUAAGCUAUCAAAGAUGUGGCCUGUGAAAAAAUGAAACAUUGUCCAGAGAGCUGGAGAAUUCCUCCGAGCUGGGGGAGGAUUGGGAGCAGAGGUGUGUGUGUGUGUGCGUACGUGAGAGCAUGGGGGGGAUUAAAGAAGGUUUGGUGGUGGAGGGCGGGUGGGACAAUGAUGAUGGACAGACAUGGGGGAGCCCGCUCAGUAUCAAAGCAGCAGGAAUGUAGAGCGGGCUGGUAGGACCUGGAACGCUCUCCUAACCCUCUGAUGUGAUGUGAUGUGAUGUGUGAAGUGGAGGGGUGAGUCAGAGCUCAGCACUGCAUGCAGCACCCGAGAUACAGAGCAGGGCCACCGAUACACAGCUGGCCGCCAGGUUUACGCCAGGGCUGCUCGAGAUUGUUGGGCGCACAUGUGGAUUUGUUUUGUUGUCGGACUGCUCUAAUGGAUACCCUCUGUUUUUGGAGGAAAAAAAAAGCCUUCUCCAAAAUAUUCCAAAUUUCUUUUAAGCUCUUUAUUCAAAACACUCCCAGUUUAAAUGUGACAGCAAACCAACAACUCAUCUGUCUGUGUAUCAGCUUUCUGUCAUUUGGGUGUGAAUGGAAAAUGCUUCUUUCCAAAGGCAGGGGGGCAAGAAGGGGGACAUCCUUGCUACACCCACUUGUUCAGUCACUAUCUGAACAAGUCAUCUUGAUAAAGAAUAAAAAAUAAUCAAUACAUCCUUCUUUAAAGUCCCGGUCAUCUUUUGAUCUAUUUCAAACGUUUUUCCAGGGGUCUAAAAUGUGUAAAAAAAAAGUUGUUUCCUAGGACAUUGUUUCUGCAGAGUGGUGGUACCUCUCAGAAAUUCACCCCUGAGUUGUGGGCGGGACCAUUGGUUUGUAGUAAGCUUGCACUAAUCUCUCUCCUGGUGGCAGACAAGAAGAUGGCUGAAAAUCCUUACCAGGAAACAGAAAUUGCCAAAUAUCAUUAGCUGGAAGCAGAAAUUCCACAAGAUUUCAGGGUUGUAGCCACUUUUAUUAAGCAUUCUGUUAUUGUUUAGGAUUAGCUUAAAUGUUUUAAAAGAGGGUGAAUGCUUUAUGAAAAAAUAUUAAGAAAAGUGUUCAGAUUUGUAAAGCUGUAAAGACUUUUACAUUGGCGCUUUAGCUCCAGACCUGAGUUUACGUUUGGCCGCAGUGAGCCACAACCCCUUACAUGAUCAACGUGAAUCAGCUCUGUCACGAAAAAAAUCGCCUUUGCACUAAUAUAAAAUUAAUUUAUAUUAGUAAUAUGUUGCAUAUCAGUUAAAAACUGCUUUAAAGUGGUGCUUACCAGCAUAAAUCUGCUUUUCUCUGCAGAUCAGAAGUCAUGAUUUGUCAUGUAGGUUUUGGCAGAAACACCUCAGGUGGUAAAGGUUUAAAGCUUAAAAGGAAAAAAAAAAAGAAAAAAAUAUUCUAUCUGGGUCACCAGUUAUAUUAGUCUAUUUCAACCAAAAACAAUAGUAUUUUUCAACUGAAAUUUGUGCGUGCAUAGAGGAGGCUAAUGAUUUUCUGCCUCCAGGUCCCACUCCUAUUUUCCCAUGAUUCCUUUGUUUACACUCCCUCCCACUAGCUUACAGCCCCUUACAACCAUAAGCUAACAUUAUCAGUGUAACAAAAAUGGUGAGCAAUAUUGUAGCUAUCCAGACGUACAGUUUUGAGCCACAUAUCAGUUCGGACGAGGAAAACAACGGUGUACAUGGAUCUACUAGUCUGCACAUGGAUGCAUCAGUAUGGAGAUAGCAGGGAGCUAUUGCAGAUUUUACCUAACUACAGGCUUUUUUUAAUGGUCUUUUGAUUUGACUGCUACUGAUUUCAAUUUGAAUGAAGAAAUACUCACCAAUACAAUUUUAAUCUUAAUUUCUUUGUAUAUGUCCUCCAUCAUGGAAAAGGCUACAAGAAUAUGCUAAAAACUGUUGGAGUGGGUCAUUAAAAUUCAAAAUUCAUUUUUUUCCAACUCAGAGCCGCAUUUCAAGUGUGACAGUUUCAUUUGUUUUCUGUCUUGUAAGCGAGCACAGUGUUGUCUGUGGUUUCUUCUGAAGCUUUUACAGUAUCAGUUCAAUUACGGCUGCACAUCCGCUUCUGCUUAAGUCCAUUUGCUCUUACUUAAUGUCGAAACUAUUCCCUGAUGCUUUGUUCUUAACUCCACAGACAAAUCUUCUUUCUCUCCCCUUUCUGUCUCCAGGCUGAGUGGCUCUUUGCUCUUUCCCUCACCCUGCCAGUAAAGCGUAUAACCAGCACUGCUUUUCACCUCCAUCUGCGGGGUCAUUAACCCACUAGAGAUCUUAGUUUAUUUUUCCUUUUUUUUCACUCCCGCAAUGUCUGUAUAUUGUUUUCAUUUUUAUUCUUUUCCUCGAACAAAAGGAAAACAUUCAAUAGUUAUUGAUUUGAGGACAUGCAACUUUUACAGCAGACCCCCCAUUUAAUCACAAAAGCUGAUUUAUAGUGGGCCCUCUGACAAUCCCAUUAAACUGCUGUCUAGCUAAUCAAGUGAAUUCUUUCUCUUGCAGGACCGAUCCUUUAUAAGGCCAGCAGAACAAAUCCUUGCAGUAACAGGAUUGACAAGAAACUGGAAGGUGUGGAGCAGCUUGGGUUUACAUACAAUUCUGAAAAACAUGUUUACAAUGAAGCUGAUCAUAAAGCUGCAGGACACAUGAACGUUACUCAUGAAACAAAGCAGUAAAGCCUUUUAGAAAUGCUUUUCAGAAUGGAGGAAACAUUCACUGGAAUGUUUUCCACCCUUUAAAAAAGAAAACAGAAGCAAUCAUACAAAACAGAAGUCGCAACCCACUUCCCUGAUUUAAAAAAAAAAGUUUCAUAAAAAAUACUCUUUGACAUUCUUUAUAAAUAUAUUAUCAUAAAAACUAAUUUUUUAAACUUCUCAAUUAAAUGUAUACAACUUUUUUGUCAUUGGUGUUUGAGAAAAUAUUUGGUCAAAAAGCUAAUGACUAAAGAAAAAAUAUGUUCUCCAUAAUUACUGUCUUUGUGGUUCAGAGGUAAAGUGGGCGACCUCUGAUUGGAAGAUUGUAGGCUUGGUGUUGAAGUGUCCUUGGGCACGACACUGAACCCCACAUUGGUCCUAGGGUUACAGGAGAGGACAUGGUUUGAAUCCCAGCCCGACACACCCCAAGUCUUUCACAGGACUGCUGCAGGCUCAUCCAGGAGUCCAGCUCAGCACCUCUGGAUCUCAGAGGAGCUACAAUUGAUUUGAUCUCCUCACUUAUUCCUCGAUUGACACAGAUACGGUGUGCCACAGCUCCUUGACAGAAUAAAUCUUUGUCAGUCUCAA
This is a long non-coding RNA of Oryzias melastigma (Indian medaka), 3299 nucleotides long. RefSeq lists it as uncharacterized. Lineage: Eukaryota; Metazoa; Chordata; Actinopteri; Beloniformes; Adrianichthyidae. The transcript has 2 exons. The record is from RefSeq and is a predicted model, not a curated record.